RNAcentral lists this long non-coding RNA (4103 nucleotides) under Malus domestica (apple). RNAcentral describes it as "long non-coding RNA (MDOM_LNC012472)". The record is from RNAcentral. Lineage: Eukaryota; Viridiplantae; Streptophyta; Magnoliopsida; Rosales; Rosaceae.
CCAAUUAGGAUUAUAAUUCUUAUUGAAGAAGACUUUUAUUAUGUCUAUAUAAAUGGGCUAUUGCACUAGUUUUGAAUUGGAGCAAAACAAUAAAUUGUAUACUACUUAAUGAGUAAAGAGUUAGAGAAUAUUGUAAGGAAAAAGAGUGUGCGAGAGAAAAGAAAAGAGAUAAAAAGUGUAUUUCUUGUUCUUGUUCAUUUAGUUUUUUCGUUAAGUCUUUAUCCUAGAGGCUUGAUAAGAUUAUUCGUCUUACUCAUUGAUAUAUUGAUAUAUUGUUGUUGCUGUUGCCUUGUGGAUGUAGGCACAUAUAGUCGAACCACGUUAAUUCUUGAUGUUAUUUAUCUUGGUUGUUUUAUUUUCAACUUCUGAGUUUGUUCUGUUUUUUGCAUUUUAAAUGCGAUAUUCACAACACAUGCACUUCAAGUUGGGUUGGAUAGGAGUAUGAAGAAUUUGGGAAGAUCUUGGAAAAUUGGUCUAAGGAAUCUCCCAGACAUAGAAGGUACUCAUAGGAGGAGAUUUAAAUGGACAUGAGGACAAUGAGACAAUCAACUACAAGGGUUUCCAUGGUGGCCAUGGUUUUGGGGAGAGUAAUGAGGUGGGGAAGUCAUUUUUUGUAAUGACAAAUGAUCUAUUUCUAGCCAAUACUUCUUUAAAAAAAGAGGAGCACGUGAUCACCUAUAAGAACAGGUCAUCAAAUACACAAAUAGAUUUCUUUUUAAUGAGGAAGGGGGAUUGUGAGAUAGAAGAAAGAACAAGAUCUUGAAGUGUCCAACAACUAGAUGGUGGAAUCUAAAAGGAGAAAAACAAGUCACUUUCAAAGAGAAAGUACUUGCCCAAGGUGUUCAGAAUACAGAGGGGAAUGCUAGCCAAUGUGGAAUUCCAUGGCUAGCUGUAUUCGAGGUAUUAGGAGAGUCCAAGGUUUUGCUCCACAUUAAAAGGAAUCUUGGUGGUGGAAAGAUGAGGUACAAGAAAAAGUUAAGGUUAAGAAGGUUUGUUGUAAAACCUUAUACAAGGAUAUAACUGAUGAAAACUGUGAGAGGUAUAUAGUAGUGAAGAAGGCAAAGAAAGCCAUGAGAGAAGCGAAACUAAUGGCUUUUGACAAUAUGGAUAAGUGUUUGGGUACCAACGAAGGAGAGUUGAAUAUCUAUAAAUUGACGAAAGCAAGGAAAAGGAGGACAAAGAGACUUGAACUAAGAUGCAUCAAGGAUGAAAAAGGAAAUAUUUUAGCUACGGAGAGAGCGGUUAAAGACAGAUGGAGAGAUUCUUCUCAAUGAAGAACACAAAAGGAGUACUUCUUUAGGCGAGUUGCGUAACUCGGAAGAGUGUAGAAAUUACUCAUGCCGCCGAAUUAGGAACGAGUAAGUGGUUGUAGCUUUAAAAAAGAUGAAACAUAGAAAAGCAGUAGGUCUCGACUGAUCAAAGUGUGGAAGGUCUGGGGAGACACGGGUAUAGCAUGGUUCACAAACCUUUUCAAUAAGAUUUUGAAAACGAAGAUGCUAAAUGAGUGGCGAAAAAGCUUUGUUACCUAUCUACGAAAAUAGGUGACAUACAAAAUUGCAUGAAUUAUAGGAGUAUUAAGUUAAUGAGUCAUAUAAUAUAGCUUUGGAAGAGAGUUAUUAAGUAUAGACUGAGGCAACAGACAUGGGCCUUAGACAACCAAUUUGGGUACAUGCCAGGGUGCUCAACUAUGGAGGCAAUCUAUCUCUUACGGAGAUCGUUAGGAUUUGGUUCAUUUUUUGUUAAAGUCCUAUUUUAUUUAGGAUUGUAUUAAGAAAGCUAAAGGUGCACAUAUUUUUGUCCUAGUCCUAAGUUCAAGAAAGAGAAACAAGUGAUGGAGAAGGUGCCCUAGCCCUAAAGCCCGCCUAUUGUAUGCAAUCGUAUGCACACGGCUGACGGCCUAGCAUAGCUCAAUCAAUCAACGUCGCUUCCAAGUACAUGACAAAUCCAGGAAAGCAACUUGGGAUGCAGUCAAGUGGAUUAUGUUACUUGAAAGGUUCCUGGCGACAAGGGAUUAUGUUUGAGAAGUAAAAAGAAAAUGCAGGGGUGUUAGGAUAUGUUGAUGUUGACUAUGCAUAGGUGUUGGAAUAUGUUGAUGUUGACUAUGCAGGGGACUUUGACAAGAGAAGGUCAACUUCUGAUUAUGUCAUUACAUGCGACCAAUCAGUUGGAGGGCACUACUACAACUAGUUACAACUUUGUCGACCACAAAAGCAAAGUACAUAGCUCUGGCCAAAACGAAGCAAUUUGGUGUAGUGGCUUGGUAAGUCAAAUGUGAAUCACUUAGGAUUAUGUGAAGCUGAAAUGUGACAGUCAAUGUGUCAUUCACUUGACAAAGAAUAGCUUUUCCAUGGAAGAUCAAAGCACUUUGGACUAAGGUAUCACAAAAUCCGGGAUUGGGUGGAGUCCAAGGAGAUUUGGGUUGAAAAGGUUCACAAGGAUGACAGUCAUGCAGAUUACCUAGCAUUGCUUGAAAUUGAUCAAUCUCAUUGAUUGAUUAACGUUCAACCUCCUCACUUGAGGUGCAAUGAGGCAAGAAGAAGUUUCCCCUCCUCACUUGAGGUGCAAUGAGGCGAGAAGAAGUUUGCCAAGGUAAAGAUACUGUAAGUUUUAUGGAGCUGCUUCAAGAAGGUUUGAAGAUACUUUGGGUUGCAACUGUCAUGACUUGGGUUGCAACUGUCAUGACUUGGUUUGACUCACCAAGGUGGAGAUUGUUAGGAUUUGGUUUGUCUUUUGUUAAAGUCUUAUUUUGUUUAGGCUUGUAUUAGGAAAGCUAAAGGUGCAUAGAUUAUUGUCCUACAAGGAUUAUGAAAGAAUGUACAAUUAGACUAGGGACAUUUGAAACGAAGACCUACAGAUGCUCCGGUUAGAAAAUGUGAUUAUGAGACAUAGGAAAGAGGGUAGAGAAAGACCUAGGGAGUUGGACUGAGACUUUAAGAAAGACAUGGAGUAUUCGGAGCGAAUGGAAGAUUAGGGCAAAACCGAGCACAGUGGCAUUCUAGGGCUGUUCUGGUUCCAAUCAUCCAACAGAAAUUUGUGUUUCAGGCUAUAUUAGAUGAUGGAAACUUUAUGCCUCAUGUGAAUUCAAUGCUGUGCAUGCCACUUUAUUAUUUUUUUAAUAGUUAUUUUUGGGCGAUUAAAUUUGCUAUGCUUUUCGGUGUAUAACUUCCAUAUUUGGUCCUGCUUUCGGUUUGCAGGCAAAUGAAGCUUUGGACAGCCUUGAAGUUCCUGUUGGGUAAGUUUUCUGUUAAUUGCAUAAACUGUGUUUGCCACACUUUUACGAGUCUUUAUACUCCUGAGCUUUAUACUCACCCGUUUUGGCCAUUUGAUCACAUAACUGCUGGAAAUAGGUUAAUAUACCUUGUUAUAUAUGUGUAGCUUGAAAAUUAUUCUCUUCUGAAUUUUGAAAGUAGCCCUGUUGCUCAUUUAGGGCAAGACUGUAGGGGUAACACAACUUUUCACUUUAUUAAGCUUCCCAAGCCGAAUUAAAAAAUUUAAAGUAUCAUAUACCCAUCUUAUCUUUUUAUUCUUCUGAUCACCUUCUUGAAGUUUGAUGUGACAUGAGCUCAAUUGCUUCUUGUGUUAAAAAUCAAGGGUUUACUUUAUAUUAAUGCACUUUUCUAAUCUAUAAAUUUGAUUGAAUAGCUGUGUGAUUGUUGAAGAUGGGAAGGUCAUAGCCUCGGGAAGAAAUCGAACUAAUGAGACACGAAAUGUAAGUUUACCAUUGGUUCUGAUGUUGAAGAAAUAAUUGUUCCUGUUUAUCUGGAUAUUUGUUUCUGAGCCUUCUUUUCAUUUGGCGAAAAUCCCAAUACCUUGUCAUGUCUCUGGUUUAUCCAUAAAAAUAAUUUUAACAUCUCAAUUUCUUAUUCUCUUAAGUUUUGUUUGGGGGAGGGACUUCAAAAUUCCAAGGCAUAUAGGCAAAAUAAAGAAGAAAUGAAUCACAAAAAGUUAGAUAGGAGGAACUAGAAAAUGCACCACAUGUGCAUAACAAAGGCACAUAAGAGGAAUUUGUAAAAUGACUCCUUUAAAGUAGUCAUUUGCAAAUCCCUCUCGCAUGCCUUUUCCUUUUGUAAUGCUCAUGUGGUGCUUUGUAAUCCUCCCAUUAA